CAAAUUAGAGCUUGAAAAGUAUUCCAUUUACAUUGGAAAGAUAUUAAAAUUUAAUUAAUUUGA
This 63-nucleotide transfer RNA is filed under the name Telchinia perenna. Its description in RNAcentral is "Acraea perenna tRNA-Val". Lineage: Eukaryota; Metazoa; Arthropoda; Insecta; Lepidoptera; Nymphalidae. The record is from RNAcentral.